GCGAAAUUCCUUGUCGGGUAAGUUCCGACCUGCACGAAUGGCGUAAUGAUGGCCAGGCUGUCUCCACCCGAGACUCAGUGAAAUUGAACUCGCUGUGAAGAUGCAGUGUACCCGCGGCAAGACGGAAAGACCCCGUGAACCUUUACUAUAGCUUGACACUGAACAUUGAGCCUUGAUGUGUAGGAUAGGUGGGAGGCUUUGAAGCGUGGACGCCAGUCUGCGUGGAGCCAACCUUGAAAUACCACCCUUUAAUGUUUGAUGUUCUAACGUUGGCCCCUGACCGGGGUUGCGGACAGUGUCUGGUGGGUAGUUUGACUGGGGCGGUCUCCUCCCAAAGCGUAACGGAGGAGCACGAAGGUUAGCUAAUCCUGGUCGGACAUCAGGAGGUUAGUGCAAUGGCAUAAGCUAGCUUGACUGCGAGCGUGACGGCGCGAGCAGGUGCGAAAGCAGGUCAUAGUGAUCCGGUGGUUCUGAAUGGAAGGGCCAUCGCUCAACGGAUAAAAGGUACUCCGGGGAUAACAGGCUGAUACCGCCCAAGAGUUCAUAUCGACGGCGGUGUUUGGCACCUCGAUGUCGGCUCAUCACAUCCUGGGGCUGAAGUAGGUCCCAAGGGUAUGGCUGUUCGCCAUUUAAAGUGGUACGCGAGCUGGGUUUAGAACGUCGUGAGACAGUUCGGUCCCUAUCUGCCGUGGGCGCUGGAGAAUUGAGGGGGGCUGCUCCUAGUACGAGAGGACCGGAGUGGACGCAUCACUGGUGUUCGGGUUGUCAUGCCAAUGGCACUGCCCGGUAGCUAAAUGCGGAAGAGAUAAGUGCUGAAAGCAUCUAAGCACGAAACUUGCCCCGAGAUGAGUUCUCCCUGAGACUAUAAGUCUCCUGAAGGAACGUUAAAGACGAUGACGUUGAUAGGCCGGGUGUGUAAGCGCAGCGAUGCGUUGAGCUAACCGGUACUAAUGAACCGUGAGGCUUAACCUU
RNAcentral lists this ribosomal RNA (972 nucleotides) under Klebsiella pneumoniae. RNAcentral describes it as "bacterial LSU rRNA". It matches the Rfam family "Bacterial large subunit ribosomal RNA", at positions 1959 to 2925 of the family's 2925-position model. Lineage: Bacteria; Pseudomonadati; Pseudomonadota; Gammaproteobacteria; Enterobacterales; Enterobacteriaceae. The record is from RNAcentral.